UGACCACCCAGCAGAGUGACUGUGCCAGAG
This 30-nucleotide non-coding RNA is filed under the name Mus musculus (house mouse). Lineage: Eukaryota; Metazoa; Chordata; Mammalia; Rodentia; Muridae. The record is from RNAcentral.